CGGACGGGGGAGUAAUGUCUGGGAAACUGCCUGAUGAGGGGGAUAACUACUGGAAACGGUAGCUAAUACCGCAUAACGUCGCAAGACCAAAGAGGGGGACCUUAGGGCCUCUUGCCAUCGGAUGUGCCCAGAUGGGAUUAGCUAGUAGGUGGGGUAACGGCUCACCUAGGCGACGAUCCCUAGCUGGUCUGAGAGGAUGACCAGCCACACUGGAACUGAGACACGGUCCAG
RNAcentral lists this ribosomal RNA (231 nucleotides) under uncultured bacterium. RNAcentral's name for it is "partial 16S ribosomal RNA". It matches the Rfam family "Bacterial small subunit ribosomal RNA", at positions 99 to 334 of the family's 1533-position model. The record is from RNAcentral.